AUCCAGAUGACGAGUCCCAAAUAGAACGAAAUGCGCAUCCUAGAU
This 45-nucleotide non-coding RNA is filed under the name Trichobilharzia regenti. Lineage: Eukaryota; Metazoa; Platyhelminthes; Trematoda; Strigeidida; Schistosomatidae. The record is from RNAcentral.